RNAcentral lists this ribosomal RNA (497 nucleotides) under uncultured bacterium. RNAcentral's name for it is "partial 16S ribosomal RNA". It matches the Rfam family "Bacterial small subunit ribosomal RNA", at positions 28 to 507 of the family's 1533-position model. The record is from RNAcentral.
GAUGAACGCUGGCGGCGUGCCUAAUACAUGCAAGUCGAACGAACAGACGAGGAUCUUGUUCCUUUGACGUUAGCGGCGCACGGGUGAGUAACACGUGUAUAACCCACCUAUAUGACUGGUAAAACUUCGGGAAACCGGCGCUAACACCGUAUAAUCUACUGAACCGUAUGGUUCAUUAGAGAAAGACGGUUUUGCUGUCACUUAUAGAUGCAUCCGGGCCGUAUUAGCUAGUUGGUAGGGUAACGGCUUACCAGGGCGACGAUGCGUAGCCGAACUGUGAGAGUGGUAGGCGGCACUAGAGGUGGAACGCGGUCCAGGCGCCUGCGAGAGGGCGCAGUAGGGUAUCGGCCGCAGUAGGCGGAAGCAUGACGGAGCAGCGGGGCGUGAGUGAUGGAGGUCUUCGGAUCGGAAAGCUCUGUUAUGAGGGAAAAACAGAUGUGUAAGGAACUAUGCACGUAUUGACGGUAACUAGUCAGAAAGCAACGGCUAACUACGUG